UUGGAUCCAGACUUUGAUCCUGGCUCAGGAUGAACGCUAGCUACAGGCUUAACACAUGCAAGUCGAGGGGAAACGAUAGAGAAAGCUUGCUUUUUCUAGGCGUCGACCGGCGCACGGGUGAGUAACGCGUAUCCAACCUGCCCACCACUUGGGAAUAACCUUGCGAAAGUAAGACUAAUACCCAAUGAUAUCUCUAGAAGACAUCUGAAGGAGAUUAAAGAUUUAUCGGUGAUGGAUGGGGAUGCGUCUGAUUAGCUUGUUGGCGGGGUAACGGCCCACCAAGGCGACGAUCAGUAGGGGUUCUGAGAGGAAGGUCCCCCACAUUGGAACUGAGACACGGUCCAAACUCCUACGGGAGGCAGCAGUGAGGAAUAUUGGUCAAUGGGCGAGAGCCUGAACCAGCCAAGUAGCGUGCAGGAUGACGGCCCUAUGGGUUGUAAACUGCUUUUAUAAGGGAAUAAAGUGAGCCUCGUGAGGCUUUUUGCAUGUACCUUAUGAAUAAGGACCGGCUAAUUCCGUGCCAGCAGCCGCGGUAAUACGGAAAGUCCGGGCGUUAUCCGGAUUUAUUGGGUUUAAAGGGAGCGUAGGCCGGAGAUUAAGCGUGUUGUGAAAUGUAGAUGCUCAACAUCUGCACUGCAGCGCGAACUGGUUUCCUUGAGUACGCACAAAGUGGGCGGAAUUCGUGGUGUAGCGGUGAAAUGCUUAGAUAUCACGAAGAACUCCGAUUGCGAAGGCAGCUCACUGGAGCGCAACUGACGCUGAAGCUCGAAAGCGCGGGUAUCGAACAGGAUUAGAUACCCUGGUAGUCCGCACGGUAAACGAUGGAUGCCCGCUGUUGGUCUGAAUAGGUCAGCGGCCAAGCGAAAGCAUUAAGCAUCCCACCUGGGGAGUACGCCGGCAACGGUGCAACUCAAAGGAAUUGACGGA
RNAcentral lists this ribosomal RNA (927 nucleotides) under uncultured bacterium. RNAcentral describes it as "bacterial SSU rRNA". It matches the Rfam family "Bacterial small subunit ribosomal RNA", at positions 1 to 917 of the family's 1533-position model. RNAcentral also lists the same sequence under 1 other name. The record is from RNAcentral.